GAUGAAGAACGUAGCGAAAUGCGAUACUUGGUGUGAAUUGCAGAAUCCCGUGAACCAUCGAGUCUUUGAACGCAAGUUGCGCCCGAAGCCAUUAGGCCGAGGGCACGCCUGCCUGGGCGUCACACAUCGUUGCCCCCCCAUCUACUCCUUCGGGAUUGCGGGGGGCGGAUGAUGGCCUCCCGUGCGCCUCGUCGCGCGGUUGCCAUAAAUGCCAAGUCCUCGGCGACGCACGCCACGACAAUCGGUGGUUGCGAAACCUCGGUUGCCCGUCGUGUGCGGUCGUCGCGCAUCGAGGGCUCGAAAAAAUUGCCGGGCUCCGGCUCGGCUUUCAACGCGACCCCAGGUCAGGCGGGGUUACCCGCUGAAUUUAAGCAUAUCAAUAAGCGGAGGA
This 391-nucleotide unclassified non-coding RNA is filed under the name soil metagenome. Its description in RNAcentral is "partial contains 5.8S ribosomal RNA, internal transcribed spacer 2, and large subunit ribosomal RNA". The stretch from base 1 to 122 matches the Rfam family "5.8S ribosomal RNA", at positions 35 to 154 of the family's 154-position model. The record is from RNAcentral.